RNAcentral lists this ribosomal RNA (253 nucleotides) under uncultured bacterium. Its description in RNAcentral is "partial 16S ribosomal RNA". It matches the Rfam family "Bacterial small subunit ribosomal RNA", at positions 524 to 776 of the family's 1533-position model. The record is from RNAcentral.
UACGUAGGGGGCUAGCGUUGUCCGGAAUCAUUGGGCGUAAAGCGCGUGUAGGCGGUUCGGUAAGUCCGCUGUGAAAGUCGGGGGCUCAACCCUCGGAUGCCGGUGGAUACUGUCGGACUAGAGUACGGAAGAGGCGAGUGGAAUUCCUGGUGUAGCGGUGAAAUGCGCAGAUAUCAGGAGGAACACCAAUUGCGAAGGCAGCUCGCUGGGACGUUACUGACGCUGAGACGCGAAAGCGUGGGGAGCGAUCCGG